RNAcentral lists this unclassified non-coding RNA (378 nucleotides) under plant metagenome. RNAcentral's name for it is "partial contains 5.8S ribosomal RNA, internal transcribed spacer 2, and large subunit ribosomal RNA". The stretch from base 1 to 105 matches the Rfam family "5.8S ribosomal RNA", at positions 50 to 154 of the family's 154-position model. The record is from RNAcentral.
GAAAUGCGAUAAGUAAUGUGAAUUGCAGAAUUCAGUGAAUCAUCGAAUCUUUGAACGCAUCUUGCGCUCCUUGGUAUUCCUUGGAGCAUGCCUGUUUGAGUAUCAUGAAAUCUUCAAAGUAAAUCUUUUGUUAACUCAAUUGGUUUGUACUUUGGUAUUGGAGGUCUUUGCAGCUUCACACCUGCUCCUCUUUGUUCAUUAGCUGGAUCUCAGUGUUAUGCUUGGUUCCACUCGGCGUGAUAAGUUAUCUAUCGCUGAGGACACUGUAAAAGGUGGCCAAGGUAAAUGCAGAUGAACCGCUUCUAAUAGUCCAUUGACUUGGACAAUACUUUUAUGAUCUGAUCUCAAAUCAGGUAGGACUACCCGCUGAACUUAAGC